CAUACUACAAAAUAAAUAAAAGC
Molecule: non-coding RNA, 23 nt
Filed under: Cricetulus griseus (Chinese hamster)
Lineage: Eukaryota; Metazoa; Chordata; Mammalia; Rodentia; Cricetidae
Source: RNAcentral